GGGAAGUUGGGUGAAUUGGUUAAACCAGCGGACUGUAAAUCCGCCGCCUUUAUGGCAUUGCUGGUUCGAGUCCAGCGCUUCCCA
Molecule: transfer RNA, 84 nt
Filed under: Caudoviricetes sp.
Lineage: Duplodnaviria; Heunggongvirae; Uroviricota; Caudoviricetes
Description: tRNA-Tyr
Rfam family: tRNA
About the family: Transfer RNA (tRNA) molecules are approximately 80 nucleotides in length. Their secondary structure includes four short double-helical elements and three loops (D, anti-codon, and T loops). Further hydrogen bonds mediate the characteristic L-shaped molecular structure. tRNAs have two regions of fundamental functional importance: the anti-codon, which is responsible for specific mRNA codon recognition, and the 3' end, to which the tRNAs corresponding amino acid is attached (by aminoacyl-tRNA synthetases). tRNAs cope with the degeneracy of the genetic code in two manners: having more than one tRNA (with a specific anti-codon) for a particular amino acid; and 'wobble' base-pairing, i.e. permitting non-standard base-pairing at the 3rd anti-codon position.
Source: RNAcentral